Molecule: ribosomal RNA, 436 nt
Filed under: uncultured Oscillibacter sp.
Lineage: Bacteria; Bacillati; Bacillota; Clostridia; Eubacteriales; Oscillospiraceae
Description: bacterial SSU rRNA
Rfam family: Bacterial small subunit ribosomal RNA
Source: RNAcentral
ACGGAAGGCAGCAGUGGGGAAUAUUGGGCAAUGGGCGCAAGCCUGACCCAGCAACGCCGCGUGAAGGAAGAAGGCUUUCGGGUUGUAAACUUCUUUUAAGGGGGAAGAGCAGAAGACUGUACCCCUAGAAUAAGCCACGGCUAACUACGUGCCAGCAGCCGCGGUAAUACGUAGGUGGCAAGCGUUGUCCGGAUUUACUGGGUGUAAAGGGCGUGUAGCCGGGGAGGCAAGUCAGAUGUGAAAUCUAUGGGCUUAACCCAUAAACUGCAUUUGAAACUGUUUCUCUUGAGUGCUGGAGGGGCAAUCGGAAUUCCUUGUGUAGCGGUGAAAUGCGUAGAUAUAAGGAAGAACACCAGUGGCGAAGGCGGAUUGCUGGACAGAGACUGACGCUGAGGCACGAAGGCGUGGGGAGCAAACAGGAUUAGAUACCUUGGUA